CACUGACAUUAGAUACCCGGGUAGUCCUAGCCGUAAACGAUACUCGCUAGGUGUCGGCCACGGUGCGACCGUUGUCGGUGCCGUAGGGAAGCCGUGAAGCGAGCCACCUGGGAAGUACGGCCGCAAGGCUGAAACUUAAAGGAAUUGGCGGGGGAGCACAACAACGGGUGGAGCUUGCGGUUUAAUUGGAUUCAACGCCGGAAAUCUUACCGGGACCGACAGCAACAUGAAGGCCAAGCUGAAGACUUUGCCGGAUUAGCUG
Molecule: ribosomal RNA, 262 nt
Filed under: uncultured archaeon
Lineage: Archaea
Description: partial 16S ribosomal RNA
Rfam family: Archaeal small subunit ribosomal RNA
Source: RNAcentral